AAUGGGCGCAAGCCUGAUGCAGCGACGCCGCGUGGGGGAUGACGGCCUUCGGGUUGUAAACCUCUUUCGUCAGGGAAGAAGCCUUUUUGGGGUGACGGUACCUGGAGAAGAAGCACCGGCUAACUACGUGCCAGCAGCCGCGGUAAUACGUAGGGUGCGAGCGUUGUCCGGAAUUAUUGGGCGUAAAGAGCUUGUAGGCGGUUUGUCGCGUCUGCGGUGAAAACCCGGGGCUUAACCUUGGGCGUGCCGUGGGUACGGGCAGGCUAGAGUGUGGUAGGGGAGACUGGAAUUCCUGGUGUAGCGGUGAAAUGCGCAGAUAUCAGGAGGAACACCGAUGGCGAAGGCAGGUCUCUGGGCCAUAACUGACGCUGAGAAGCGAAAGCAUGGGGAGCGAA
Molecule: ribosomal RNA, 395 nt
Filed under: uncultured bacterium
Lineage: Bacteria
Description: bacterial SSU rRNA
Rfam family: Bacterial small subunit ribosomal RNA
Source: RNAcentral